UCCACUUAUACCCUUUCCUCUAAACUAAACACGCGGACACACAAACAAACUAGGGUUUCUCUCAUCCCUCAUUUGGUCCGCCGCUAUCAUCCUCUGCUCUCUCUCUCUAUGGCGAUUGCUAUAUCGCGCUCUCGGAUCUCGCCAGAUCUAUGAAGGGUUUGCCAUUUCAUCCAUCUCCCUGCUUCUCUCUCAAAGAAGAUCUAGGGUUUCUCUAGGCGGAGCCGAGCCACUGGCUCACUGCGAACUCGCCGGCGUUUGAUACUUCCAUGGAACCAAAUAGUCCGAGCCGUGUAGGCUGGUAUUGUGUUCUUACCCUUUUCUCUCUUUUCGUUUUUGUUGAACUGAUUUCGUUUUUGUACAGCUCAUAUCACCAAAUCCGGUUUCAGUGACACUCUUUUCGUUUUUGGGAGUGAAGAACAAGCAGAUCCGGUAUCCUGUAUGUUCGUAGACCUCAUAUCACCCCUGAUUUUGGUGCAGGUGGAAUAAUUUUUAUUAUUGAUUAAAGAUACUUUAGCAGACCAUCAAAGGUUCCCUUUUCUGAGUUUUUUUUUAUUACGAAUGCCACCAGAAGCACUCAAUCUUGUCUUCAUGUAGUGCUUAGCAAGCACUCCUUGCAAGUUGCAACUUCUUCAUUACCAGAGGUUUACAAAUGUCAAAAGCGGUCUUCUUCAUUACUGGAGGUUUACAAAGGUCAAAAGAGGUCAAAUUACAGGUGUAUAGACGACCAGGUGGCGACAAGGUGUAUGCUGUAUUUGAUAAUCAACUCCCUGCUGCUUUAAAAAGGUUACAGUUUUACAAGCAACUUUCAGUGGAGAAUGUGAGAAAAUUAAUUACUGUAUCUGAUGGAUAUCAACCUCAUUUAAUAGCACCUGAACAAGGUUGUCGUCGUCUUAUCGAAUCUACGUUGAUUACCAUCAAAUCUCCUGCCGAAGCGGUUGUUGAUGCGGUUGGUUCACGGUAUACUGAAGGAUUUGGUCCACAAGUCGAUUAAGGAGACCGCAGUGAGUCUGAAGGCCCUUAAUAUGGUUGGGAUCCGAAACCGAAGGCACUAUAUGGGCAGUUCAUCUUAUGAUUAUCUCUCGAGGGUCGGUCCAGAAACCCAUUAAGAGGUUGGUUAUAAGGACAAUUCAAGAACUCGCAAGUGUAGAUCUUGUGCUCAACUACUUGGUUUGCCGGAGGGGCUUUCCUCUUUCUAUCAGUCAACAACCCGAGAUUUGGUUUGACAUCUCCGACGUCAAAGUUGGGUUCCGGUUCAUGUUGAACUACUUCAACAUCAUACUCACCAGCAUCAUCAUUAACCGCAAACGAACCACUCCAUCCUAACGACAUAACCGGCGGACAUAGUUCAGGGUAAAGUUCUCUGGCCAACACCUAGCUUGUCACAUUUUGUUGGUUAGUUGCAAAAUAUAGAUAUAUAUAAAAGCUUUUUAUCAUGAAAACUUGGUACAGAAAUUGGUUAAUGGGGAGAGAAUUGUCAGUUGGAUAUGCGUAUAUUUCGCUAGCAAUGUGUAAGAUAACACUGCUUUUGUACGUUUUUGCCAAGAGCUUGCCCAAUGCAAAUUACUGCUUUUGUACGUUUUUGCCAAGAGCUUGCCCAAAUAGAAAGAAGGCUUUAUGGCCAUGGAAGGGUGUUAACGACCUUAAAAAAGGCCCUUUUUUGUCAUCUCGUGUUGAGUUCAUAAGAUGCAAUUGAUUAGGUUUUGUAAUCUUAUUUGAUGUUCACUAGCUUUGUAGAAAUUCAUGCCUAUGUGUGUGGUUCGAACAAAAUAUUUUCAUCAUAAGGUUUGGUAUUUGUUUUCA
Molecule: long non-coding RNA, 1800 nt
Organism: Helianthus annuus (common sunflower)
Lineage: Eukaryota; Viridiplantae; Streptophyta; Magnoliopsida; Asterales; Asteraceae
Exons: 8
Source: RefSeq, a predicted model, not a curated record